AUACAGAGGGUGCGAGCGUUAAUCGGAGUUACUGGGCGUAAAGGGCGCGUAGGCGGAUGAUUAAGUCAGUUGUGAAAUCCCAGGGCUUAACCUUGGAACUGCAAUUGAUACUGAUUGACUAGAGUCGACGAGAGGGAAGCGGAAUUUCCGGUGUAGCGGUGAAAUGCGUAGAUAUCGGAAGGAACACCCGUGGCGAAGGCGGCUUCCUGGCUUCAGACUGACGCUGAGGUGCGAAAGCGUGGGGAGCGAACAGGAUUAGAAACCCUUGUAGUCC
RNAcentral lists this ribosomal RNA (274 nucleotides) under uncultured bacterium. RNAcentral describes it as "partial 16S ribosomal RNA". It matches the Rfam family "Bacterial small subunit ribosomal RNA", at positions 523 to 796 of the family's 1533-position model. The record is from RNAcentral.